This 253-nucleotide ribosomal RNA is filed under the name uncultured bacterium. RNAcentral's name for it is "partial 16S ribosomal RNA". It matches the Rfam family "Bacterial small subunit ribosomal RNA", at positions 524 to 776 of the family's 1533-position model. The record is from RNAcentral.
UACGGAGGGUGCAAGCGUUAUACGGAAUCACUGGGUUUAAAGGGUGCGUAGGCGGCAUAGCAAGUUAGGGGUGAAAGGUCACGGCUCAACAGUGGACUUGCCUUUGAUACUGCUGUGCUUGAAUCAGGAUGAGGUCGGCAGAAUGUGGCAUGUAGCGGUGAAAUGCAUAGAUAUGCCAUAGAACACCAAAUGCGAAGGCAGCCGGCUAGCCCUUGAUUGUCGCUGAGGAACGAAAGCGUGUGGAGCGAACAGG